CGCUCCGAGCUGGGGUCGCGGGCCUCGGGGCAGCGCGGCGCCGGGUGCCUGUGGGCCGCUCGGCCCGCGACCUUUGACCCGCGGCCAGGCCUGGGCGGGCGAAGAGCGCGCCCCCUCUCGAGCGCGCCGGGAAACUGAAUGCAUUCUGAUUUGAUACACCUCCUAUCUGGACUGAUGGGCAACAAAGAGGAAACACCAAAUGGCGGCCUUUUAAGAAGUGACAGUGAAAACAUCCCUCGAUCCACCAUAUUAGGAUAAGGAAGAGAAGAGGAUGCAAGUUUCCUAACUGUCCUGGUUUUCUUCUUGGAUUCAUGGUGGGGCAGAGGAUCCGCUCCGUGCUCGCCCGCAGACUGCCUGGCUGGCUGGUGAGGGUGUGCCUUGUACUUGACGCAUGGUGACUCUCCUUACGACCAUUCUGACGCAGAGCUCACGGAGGCUCAGAGCAUGAAACGCCUUGGUGAUGGAUGGGAAACGGCCUUGACUGGCCUCCUGACACAUGGCACAGAUCUGCCUUCUCUGUUGCCUUCUUUGAGGCAGAACAGAACGUUUAAAAGAACAUCCGAAAAAAAAUAAAAAUUAAAAAAUUAAAAAAUUAAAUAAAGGAACAUCCGAUUUGGAAGCAGAUACAGUAGGCAUUACCCCUUCCAUGCACUAGCUCUGUGCUGCUAGUUGAGGACGCAGUGGAAGGCUCAGUGGUCCCUGUCCUAACGGGGUUCACAGAAGAAUGACUAGGAGAACCCGUUCAGGAGCUGCAUUGACCAGAGGUAGACCAUAGGCCCUACCACUGAUGGGCUUCAGAAUCCUGGGCAGGUUAUUUAACUUGCCUAAGAUUCAAUAUCUGCAAGUAUCAGAUGAAAAUCAUAAUAACACAUAAUCUCUGUGUCAACUAUAUUCAAAAAAUUUUUUUUCUUUUAUU
Molecule: long non-coding RNA, 916 nt
Organism: Mirounga angustirostris (Northern elephant seal)
Lineage: Eukaryota; Metazoa; Chordata; Mammalia; Carnivora; Phocidae
Exons: 4
Source: RefSeq, a predicted model, not a curated record